This 402-nucleotide small RNA is filed under the name Arabidopsis thaliana (thale cress). RNAcentral's name for it is "ATSL200040". Lineage: Eukaryota; Viridiplantae; Streptophyta; Magnoliopsida; Brassicales; Brassicaceae. The record is from RNAcentral.
UGACUAUGUUGUUAUCAUGUUUUCAUUCUAUUCAACGUUUAGGUUCUCUACAAUGAUGUCUGAGUAGAGAAUAGGUUUCUGAGGAUGUGUUAGAGUAGUGUAGAAUUCUCAGUAUGCUAGGUGGUUGAGUUUGAUUGAUAGAUCCCUUCUGGAUUAGUUGUUUUUAAUGCCUAUUGCUUUCUGAUCAACUGGAGUUUGAGCCCAGACAUUUCCGCGCCCAAAAGGUGUUCGAUGAAAUGUCUGAACCACUAAUUCCAGAGAUUCGUGGCCAUAUACCAAGGUAUUGGUUGCAGGGAGCGUUUUGGCUUUAACUUGUUGAUUCGUAAUGCUUGUUAGGUUAACUCUCGUCAAUGGUGAUUGAGUCUGGGACUAGGUUAACUUGAGGGUCUCUGUUGCGGUGAC